CAAAACCCUAGCGAGCUCAGCAGCUCAAAUUCUAAGCAUAAAUACAGCUCCAUGUCUCUUCAAUUCAGAUAUCUCCAGCUGCUCUCCUCAUCGCCGCGCUCCGCCUCUCUCCUCCGCCAUCUGCCAAAUCCGACGGAAGGAUUGUUUGGGCAGAGACGAUGGUCUAUCUGCAGCUGUGUUGAUAGUUUGGUUGUAGCGUUGGUUUAGUGUUGGCUUUUUAACUUUCUUUAUGUUGUAUAUUUACAUAUAAAUAUGGAUACUAUAUGUAAAUUAGCUGUGAAGUUCGAUAAUGAAAAUUGGUUUACUUUUCCCCUUUAAA
Molecule: long non-coding RNA, 319 nt
Organism: Salvia miltiorrhiza (redroot sage)
Lineage: Eukaryota; Viridiplantae; Streptophyta; Magnoliopsida; Lamiales; Lamiaceae
Exons: 2
Source: RefSeq, a predicted model, not a curated record